This 121-nucleotide small nucleolar RNA is filed under the name Echinops telfairi (small Madagascar hedgehog). Its description in RNAcentral is "Small nucleolar RNA SNORA61 (ENSETEG00000025353.1)". Lineage: Eukaryota; Metazoa; Chordata; Mammalia; Afrosoricida; Tenrecidae. The record is from RNAcentral.
GGCCUUCAGAUUCCUAACCACUCAGACUUAAAUACUGGUCUGAGUGGUUAUAACAGGAGGACAAAUAACAUUGAAAUUGAAUUAAAUUGUUUUGUGACACAGAAGCUAGGUUCAAACAAAG